CCAUCCAUUGUAAUGUCCUCUUGCUCUCGUUUAAUCGACUCAUCUCACUGUUGUCUCGUAUCUGUAAUAACUAAUGUACUAUGUUGAUGUCUGAAAGUUGCCAGUUACAUUGCGUUUUGCUCUUUUAUAAACCUCAAAGAAGUUCAUCUAACUCAUCCCAUUCAUUAACAAGACGCAUGCUUCUUGUAAUUUAGCACCAUAUGAAUUUGCUGAUCUUUCCUUUUCGAUUUGACCUAAGGAAAUGAUAUUUCUACUUGCGCAGUUCUACGAUCACUUCUUUGACUGGGGCCUGAAGGAGGAGAUCGGCAAGUUGACAGCGAUAAGGGCACGGAACCGGAUUAACGAGAAGAGCAGCGUGAAGAUCUUGGCUUCUGAUUCUGAUUUAUACGUGGCCAAGAUCGACGAUGGAGUGAUUAUGAAGAUUGGGCCUAGGUUUGAAGUAGGAAACCUUGUUCCUCCCAAUUAUCAGAUUGCUACAUCCGGCCAAGAUUAUUGUGUGUGGGAGAAGAAGUGAUGUUCAGGCAAACUUAAGAAUAAGCAGCAACUGAAAGAGCAAUUAUAGGUUGCAUUGUUUGAAAUAAAAAUUUACAAGCGGUCUUAUGCACCGUAUGGAAGUAAGUUAAAAUUUUUCGUUCAACCUCUGUUAUUUAUAUAAGGUUGUCAAUUAUCGACACCAUAUGCAAUUAAACAUGUUUAAAUUUGGCAUAAAUGGGUUUGUGUAUUCCCAUUUACGACACAUUCAAAAUUAUAUCUUAGGCCGGAGGUAAUUUGUUUCAACAGGACAUAAUUAGACAUGUUUAACACUCACAUUUAAUGACUUUUUUAUUAUUAAAAGUUUAUAACAAUAACACCCAUUUCAAAAAGAAAAAAAUAAAAUAAAAGCAUAUGAAAGGAUAAAAAAGUCCGUAAACAAAAUGAAAUUCAAUGGUGCACUGUACAUUAGUGAUAAGUAGAUUUGGAGUAAAGUAAAACAACAUAUCUAGUCGCUAAUUAAGCCGAUCUAACCACCUAACAUACAAUAACGAAUAAUUAAAUCGCUAUUUCAUUCUAAAUAAAAAUAUAAACCAUACUUAACCUAAACUAAUCAACCAUUAAGCAUAAUUAACUCUUUAAGCAGAGUUUAGUGAGUGAACUCACUAGUUUUGAAAUCCGAUGAGUUCGCGGUGAUGGCAACGCGGAAAUGGGCGACAAACUCCGAAGCGAUGACACCCUACAAGGCCUGAAAGCGUUCCGAAACGAGCCUAGAAGGCCCACAGCUAGUUGAGGGCUUCAGUUCUGCUUGAUGGGCCGAGAGAGAUCUAGGCGACGGGCUGAGCUGGAAACGGCCAAGGUGGCUAGUGUAGACUGCUGCGAGACUAGGUGGCGGCGGACAGUGGCUCGAGUGACCACGACGGCAACCACGACGGCUGGACGACAUUGGACGAUGGCAAGUAGGGUGCGAACGUGAGUAGGGGACCCACGGACUUAGGCGCGUAAAUGAGCAGAACCAGAGGGCGAGCGGCGACCUGGCAACGAUUAGAUGGGUGUGUGACGGGCAAGGGCAGGAGGCUACUCGGUCUCUUGCAAUUUUUGGGAGCUUCCAAGGUUGAAAAUGGAGAAAGCAAGUCUUGUUGAAGAAGAAAGGCCAGCUGCAAGAGUGGAGGGACCCCUUGGCCCCAAAGUCUCCAUUCCUAUGUCCUUUGUCCCCUUGGCAAGGCCCCACCUGUUUUAGCUAAUCCUCAGCCAAUUUUGUGCACACAAAACCCCCUAAAACAAGUUCCAAAUGGUCCAAAAGUUGAGGGGGACCAUGACAUAAGAAUUUGACACCAAAUUCCCCAAAUUGAGUUCAAUUCUCCUCCGAUUGGGUUCAAUUCAGUCUCCAUAAAUUCCACCAAGGUGUCCUCAACCAAAUUGACAUUUUUCCUCCCCAAUAAAAUCAACUUGCAUCCCAAAAACACGAUAAAAAUGUCCCUGAAUUUUCUGGACAAGAACAACCAAAUUUUGAAUUUUCGCCAAAAAUCUCGGUUUGCAGAAAAGUCUUUGGAGGAUGUUCCUAAAAUGAAUCGUGACAUGACAAAAUUUUCAAUUUCUAAAAUCAGAUUCAAAUUCGCGGUUAAUUUUAAUUUAGCGCGAUUUUAGAGUGACCUAGCCUACCAGGUAGCUUUUAGAAAUUUCUAGUACAAUUGACCCGUUGUCGAUUUAUUUCGAGUCACAAUGUACAUCUUCGACACAUUAGCGACUCUCGACUAUUAGAAAAUCUCAAGGUUUCAAAUACGGGCACAAGGUACCCAAAACGACAAAAAAAUGGGUUAGUACCGAUCGACGAAAAUUUUGUAAUCGGGUGGAAUCACUCAUAUUUUGAUCACAUAUCUUUGUCGAAUCGACCUAUCUAUGAUCUAUGUUCGAUUUUGACAAUGUCGUAAUGAUUCUUGCAGACUAGCACGGUCAAGCAAUCGAUUCUUAAUCGAAUUCUCAAGUCUAUUAUGUUAAAAUCCCUUAACGGUUUCGCUUGAUAGACUAGUUAUCUCGUGAGUGGCCAACUCAGAGAAAAGAAUUAUAGGCGUGUCGAUGAAAUGCCCAACUUAUUCAAUAAAGAAACAUAGCUUGAAAUUUAGGAUGUCACACGUCGUCUGUGAUUGGGUUCAACAGGGGCGAAUGCCGAAGCUGCUUGGCUCAUCAAGAACCGGAAAUGUUCGUGGGGAGUGCAGGUUGGCGAAAUUUCAAUCAGCGUUGGGAAGAACAAUGAAGUCAGUCUUUGAAAUAUGAUAUCACUUUCUUUAAUAAAUUAUUUUCCUCACAACUUGGCUAAUAGUCACCUGCAAAUUUCGUCCAAUAUACAACAAAAUCUCGUUUGAGAAUACUAGAUAGAAGUAUUUCUCUAAGGUCUUUCAAGGAAAACAAUUGGAAACAAUGGCUAUAUAUUUUUUGAAAGAAAAUGAAAUUAGAAGCUGAAGAUCAUUAUUGAACAAACAUGUUCAGUAAUUAAUAUAAAAAAACAAGAAGGUAUAUCGGAAUAGACACAACCUUUCAAAGAUUAAAAAAGUUAUGCCUGAACAUAUAUGAACUUUGAAAUAACCAUUGGAAGAAGUAAUAAAAUUGGGAAUUAAAUACAUAAAAAAUAAAAAUUAUCAUAAUUUUUUCAUAAAUAGUCACACUGUUCUAAUAGGAUAUUACAUUUAAUUUUUAUAAUUAUAAAUCCGAUUUUUAAUAAAUAAAAAAUAAUGAUCAUUGAUUAGUGUCAAAUUUUGUCUAUGUGCGCACUCACAUAUUUUUGAUGUGGGAUAAGGCAUCUCUUGAUUUGUUUUAUAAAUAAAAUACCAAGGAUGCUUAAUUGCUUAUAACAUUGUUGCUUGGUAGUAGUUUUCCUUUCGGCAAGUGACUCCUUUUACUGUUCGUCCCGUAUAGACCGAUGAAAUCAAAUUUUUAGUACAUGUUGUUUAUGUUCUGUUUCCCCCAGUUCCUAGAUGGGUUGCGAUAGCGUAAUAUGGUUGAGUAUGAAAGCUUAGAUCUUGCCAGUUGGGAGAAUAUUGGUCAUUCAAGAGUAUCGCAUUAUCUAUGCCUGGAACAUGGACACGCCACGCAACGAUAUGCUCUUUGUGGCCAGUCGGGGUUCUAUACUGAAACGGUAUUAGUUAGGAAAUCUGCUGCUUAGAACUCUACGUUAGGACCACUGAACCCAUGGUUCCCUAUAAUUUUCUCUCUCUAUUUGGGGUUGCAAUUACCAUGUGAUUUCUGGCUAACCCUGUUGCCUAAUCCACUUCUCUAAUCAUCACAGGAUCUUGCUUGAAAGCGAAGUAUUGAGGAGUAAUGUGAAGUAUUGACCUUUGAGGAAGACAGGCCAAAAACGAAAGAAACAGAAGGAAUCUUGACUCAGCGAAGACUUUGCUCUCUGUUGUUUUUUUCUUGGCACGACUCUCAGUCGAUUCAGACUUCUGAAGCGUCACGUGGGUUACGCGGCGUGCCAUUUACGUUGCAUUCACUUCCUGUUUUCUUGGCCACCCAACGUCCUUAGCCUACCCCUCUCGGUUGCCAUUGGCCAACAAUCUAAUACGCGUUUGUGGAAUACAAAGUCGGACUUUUAAUCCGAGUGGCAGUCCCCUCCUGCGCCCUUUCCACGUCCAUUCCUCUAAAUUGUCCUGUUUCCUUUGAUUUGUCAGUAGUCAUCCUCUUCAUGCGCCUUUGACAUGUCCAAUCUAAAAUUAUCCAUGGCAUAGCUGACUGGUUCCCCCUAAAAGAUCAGAGAAAGAAAAAGGAAGGAGCAUGUGAUGAUGAGUUCUCCCUCUCUCUUCUGGCUCUUCGUUCUCUCGGUCUCUUACCUCGCCGCCUCAGCAUCCCCUGCCUUGUUAUUUCAGGUGAGAUAGAGAAAUCAACGUCUUGUUCUUCAUUACGAUACAAAGUGACAGAAAGCAAUAGAGAUUCCAUUUAUAUGCUUUACUUGUUGAGUUAUAUGUCUGACUGUUCAAGAAUUUGGGCGUUAUCUGAACAAAGGGGUUCAACUGGGAAUCUUGGAAGAAGGAAGGGGGAUGGUACAAUUCGCUCAAGAACUUGGUACCGGAUUUGGCCAAUGCUGGAAUUACUCAUGUGUGGCUUCCUCCACCGUCUCAAUCCGCCGCUCAACAAGGUAUAUCGCCGUGCCCUAACUCCUAAUAAUAAAAAAUCACUCAGUUUCCUUCUACGGUUGCGCUUGCCUGUAGUGUAGUGAUGGUUGAUGAAUAUGAUAGUGAUUACGGGCUAAAUCAUCAGAAUUAAUAGUUCUGGACUGCUAGUCCAGGAUGAAUUGAUGUUUGAUGCAUUCGACAAUCUUGGAUCAAAUUCAACCGUGUGGUUUCUGAGAAGAAAUAGACCCUCGAAAGAAAUCCUCUAUAUGAACAUCUGUUCCAAGGUUAGAAUUUAGUGGGACUCAUAUUUUGAUGAAUGCCAUCCCCUCUUUUCUCUAGGGUACCUGCCUGGGCGGCUCUAUGAUCUCAAUGCUUCGAGCUACGGGAAUCAGGAUGAGUUGAAGCAUCUUAUUGAUGCUUUCCAUCAAAAGGGGAUCAAAUGCCUGGCCGACAUAGUGAUUAACCACAGGACUGCGGAAAAACAAGAUAGCCGGGGAAUAUGGUGCAUCUUCGAAGGCGGAACACCCGACGAUCGUCUUGACUGGGGGCCAUCCUUUAUUUGUCGCAAUGAUGCUAAUUACUCUGAUGGCAUGGGUAAUCCUGAUACAGGGGAGGACUACGAGUUUGCGCCCGACAUAGACCACCUCAAUCCGAGGGUGCAAAAGGAGCUGUCUGACUGGAUGAAUUGGUUGAAGAGCGAUAUAGGAUUUGAUGGGUGGCGAUUUGAUUUCGUAAAGGGUUACUCCUCGAGCAUCACCAAAAUCUAUAUGGAUCGGACUUUGCCGAAUUUUGCGGUGGGAGAGAAUUGGGAAUCGCUCUCUUAUGGACAGGAUGGGAAGCUCAACCCAAACCAGGAUGCACACCGCCUUAAGCUGGCGGAUUGGGUCAAUGCUGCAGGCGGGGCCAUCACGGCGUUUGAUUUCACCACGAAGGGGAUCCUCCAGGCGGCCAUUGAAAGGGAGCUUUGGCGGUUGAGGGAUUCAAACGGGAUGCCACCGGGAUUGAUUGGCCUGCAGCCAAGAAGCGCCGUGACUUUCAUCGACAAUCACGACACUGGUUCCACGCAGAAAAUGUGGCCGUUUCCCUCCUAUAAGGUCAUGCAGGGAUAUGCCUACAUCCUCACCCAUCCCGGAGUCCCAUCCAUUGUAAUGUCCUCUUCCUCUCGUUUAAUCGACUCAUCUCACUGUUGUCCCGUGUCUGUCCCGUGUCUGUGAUAACUAAUGUACUAUGUUGAUGUCUGAAAGUUGCCAGUUACAUUGCGUUUUGCUCUUUUAUAAACCUCAAAGAAGUUCAUCUAACUCAUCCCAUUCAUUAACAAGACGCAUGCUUCUUGUAAUUUAGCACCAUAUGAAUUUGCUGAUCUUUCCUUUUCGAUUUGACCUAAGGAAAUGAUAUUUCUACUUGCGCAGUUCUACGAUCACUUCUUUGACUGGGGCCUGAAGGAGGAGAUCGGCAAGUUGACAGCGAUAAGGGCACGGAACCGGAUUAACGAGAAGAGCAGCGUGAAGAUCUUGGCUUCUGAUUCUGAUUUAUACGUGGCCAAGAUCGACGAUGGAGUGAUUAUGAAGAUUGGGCCUAGGUUUGAAGUAGGAAACCUUGUUCCUCCCAAUUAUCAGAUUGCUACAUCCGGCCAAGAUUAUUGUGUGUGGGAGAAGAAGUGAUGUUCAGGCAAACUUAAGAAUAAGCAGCAACUGAAAGAGCAAUUAUAGGUUGCAUUGUUUGAAAUAAAAAUUUACAAGCGGUCUUAUGCACCGUAUGGAAGUAAGUUAAAAUUUUUCGUUCAACCUCUGUUAUUUAUAUAAGGUUGUCAAUUAUCGACACCAUAUGGAAUAAAUGGGUUUGUGUAUUCCCAUUUACGACACAUUCAAAAUUAUAUCUUAGGCCGGAGGUAAUUUGUUUCAACAGGACAUAAUUUGUUUCAACAGGACAUAAUUAGACAUGUUUAACACUCACAUUUAAUGAUUUUUUUAUUAUUAAAAGUUUAUAACAAUAACACCCAUUAAAAGCAUAUGAAAGGAUAAAAAAGUCUGUAAACAAAAUGAAAUUCAAUGAUGCACUGUACAUUAGUGAUAAGUAGAUUUGGAGUAAAGUAAAACAACAUAUCUAGUUGCUAAUUAAGCCGAUCUAACCACCUCACAUGCAAUAACAAAUAAUUAAAUCGCUAUUCCAUUCUAACUAACCACAUAAACCAUACUUAACCUAAACUAAUCAACCAUUAAGCAGAAUUAACUUCAUAAGUAGAGUUUAGUGAGUAAACUCACCGGUUUUGAAAUCCGAUGAGUUCGCGGUGAUUGUAAUGCGGAAAUGGGCGACAAACUCCGAAGCGACGACAUCCUACAAGGCCUGAAAGCGGUCCAAAACGAGCCUAGAAGGCCCACGGCUAGUUGAGGGCUUCGGUUUUGCUUUAUGGGUCGAGAGAGAUCUAGGCGACGGGCUGAGCUGGAAACGGCCAAGGUGGCUAGCGUAGAUUGCUGCGGGACUAGGUGGCGGCGGACGGUGGCUCGAGUGACCACGACGGCGACCACAACGGCUGGAUGACGUUGGACGACAGCAAGUAGGGUGCGAACACGAGUAGGGGACCCGCAGACUUAGGCGCGUAAAUGAGCAGAACUAGAGGGCGAGCGACGACCUGGCAACAGUCAGACGGGUGUGCGACGGGCAAGGGUAGGAGGCUACUCGAUCUCUUGCAAUUUUUGGGAGUUUCCAAGCUUGAAAAUGGAGAAAGCAAGUCUUGUUGAAGAAGAAAAGCCAGUUGCAAGAGUGGAGGGACCCUUUGGCCCCAAAGUCUCCAUUCCUAUCUCCUUUGUCCCCUUGGCAAGGCCCCACCUGUUUCAGCUAAUCCUUAGCCAAUUUUGUACACACAAAACCCCCUAGAACAAGUUCCAAAUGGUCCAAAAGUUGAGGGGGACCAUGACAUACAAAUUUGACACCAAAUUCCCCAAAUUGAGUUCAAUUCUCCUCCAAUUGGGUUCAAUUCGGUCUCCAUAAAUUCCACCAAGGUGUCCUCAACCAAAUUGACAUUUUUCCUCACUAAUAAAAUCAACUUGCAUCCUAAAAACGCGAUAAAAAUUGGUCCCUGAAUUUUCCGGACAAAAACAGCCCAAUUUUGAAUUUUCGUCAAAAAUCUCAGUUUGCAGAAAAAUCUUUGGAGGAAGAGUUGACAUUCCUAAAAUGAAUUGUGACAUGAAAAAACUUUCAAUUUCUGAAAUCGGAUUCAAAUUCGCAGUUAAUUUUAAUCUAGCGCGAUUUUAGAAUGACCUAGCCUACUGGAUAGCUUUUAGAAAUUUUUAGUGCAAUUGACCCGUGGUCGAUUUAUUUCGAGUCACAAUGUACAUCUUUGACACAUUAGCGACUCUUGAUUGUUGAGAAAAUCUCAAUGUUUAAAAUACGGGCAUAGGGUACCCAAAACGACAAAAAAAUCGGUCAAUACCGAUCGACGAGAAUUUUGUAAUCAGGUGGAAUCACUCAUACUUUGAUCAUACUAUGAUCUAUGUUCGAUUUUGACAAUGUCGUAAUGACUCUUGCAGACUAGCACGGUCAAGCAAUUGAUUCUUAAUCGAAUUCUCAAGUCUAUUGCGUUAAAAUCCCUUAACGGCUUCGCUUGAUAGGCUAGUUAUCUCGUGAUUAGCCAACUCAGAGAAAAGAAUUAUAGGCGUGUCGAUGAAAAGCUCAACUUAUUCAAUAAAAAAACAUAGCCUGAAAUUCAGGAUGUCACACGUCAUCCGUGAUUGGGUUCAACAGGGGCGAAUGCCGAAUCUGCUUGGCUCAUCAAAAACCGGAAAUGUUUGUGGGGAGUGCAUGUUGGCGAACUUUCAAUCAGCGUUGGGAAGAACAAUGAAGUCAAUCUUUGAAAUAUGAUAUCACUAUCUUUAAUGAAUUAUUUUCCUCACAACUUGGCUAAUAGUCACCUGCAAAUUUCGUCCAAGAUACAACAAAAUCUCGUUUGAGAAUACUAGAUAGAAAUAUUUCUCUAAGAUCUUUCAAGGAAAACAAUUGGAAACAAUGGCUAUAUAUUUUUUUGAAAGAAAAUAAAAUUAGAAGCCGAAGAUCAUUAUUGAACAAACAUGUUCAGUAAUUAAUAUAAAGAACAAGAAGGUAUAUCGGAAUAGACACAACCUUCCAAAGAUUAAAAAGUUAUGCCUAACAUGUAUGAACUUUGAAAUAACCAUUGGAAGAAGUAAUAAAAUUGGGAAUUAAAUACAUAAAAAAUAAAAAUUAUCAUAAUUUUUUCAUAAACAGUCACAUUGUUCUAAUAGGACAUUACUUUUAAUUUUUAUAAUUAUAAAUCCGAUUUUUAAUAAAUAAAAAAUAAUGAUCAUUGAUUAGUGUCGAAUUUUGUCUAUGUGCGCAUUCACAUCUUUUUGAUGUGGGAUAAGGCAUCUCUUGAUUUGUUUUAUAAAUAAACUACCAAGGAUGCUUAAUUGCUUAUAGCAUUGUUGCUUGGCAGUAGUUUUCCUUUCGGCAAGUGACUCCUUUUACUGUUCGUCCCAUAUAGACCGAUGAAAUCAAAUUUUUAGUACAUGUUGUUUAUGUUCUGUUUCCCCCAGUGGGUUGCGUUAGCGUAAUAUAUGGUUGAGUAUAGGGGUGAGCGGUUCCCGGUUCCUUACAGGUUCCGCUUGGAACCUGGAACCUACCCUCGGGUACACGUUCUUCAUUUUUUGGAACCUGGAACCUACCCGUCAAAACCGAGAACCUGGAACCUACCCUGUCACAGGUUCCGGGGUCGGUUCCGGUUCCAACAGGUUCUUUUUUUUUUUUUCAUUUUUAGUUAAAAAAAUGAAAAUGAAUGCAGCAAUAAUAAACAAACUUGUCAUUCAUUGAAGAUAAUAUAACACAAAUAGCAAACAGCAUUUUAGAAGUAAUAAACAAGCCGUCAUUUGAACAACACACUUCAUUCUAAAUGAUCUUUGCCUUAAUCAAAUCGAAAGUUUCUUGCUGUGCUCGGAACUAACGUACCCUGUCUCCAAUUGGAUUGAGUAUCCCAUCUCUAAAAGCUGAAAACAGCAGCAAACAUAACUUAGCACCACCAAAAUUAAAAAAGAGAAGACCCAAACAACUAAAACUUCCAGAUAUGCUAAGAAGGGUUACUUACGCACAGUGAUAGAGCCAUGCUGCUUUUGCUGCACAGGAUAACUAAACAGCUUAAUAACUCGGCAUGCUGACGUUCAAAUUAGGAAUGCGCAUCAGGGGUUGAUAAGGAUAUACUUUAGUCUUUUGAGAAAGAGCGGCACCCCAGGUAGUUUAGCCUGUAUCUCCUCAAACAUUUUAUCCACUCUAACAGCAGGAGGGGCUCUUCUGAAUUGGGGGCUUUCCUCAAACACGUCAAAAGGUUGUUCGGUGAGCUGCAUCAUUGAUGGUCACGGACUAUUCAUUAGCUUAUCGGAAGAUGUUGCAUUAUAAUUGACACACAAGAUAUAAGAAACACAAUUAACAGGGCAAUCAGGGGAUAAAAGAGGUGUCUAUCAGUCAUCAAGGAAAAUGUUGCAGCAGACAGGAUAUAAGACUCACAAGUCCUUUCAUUUCAGCUAAUCUAGUCAGGUCUCUUAUAAGCCCACGCAUGUCACACCGAGCAAAGAAGUUCACCACAGCCCAUUUCUGUAUCUUAGCUGGCUCAACAAAUUUCUGCAGAAGAGUGAAAAGAUAGCAUAAACAGACUUAUUGAACACAAUAAUUGGUGGCGGAUAAUUCAAAUAACCUUAUUCUAAAAGCUCCACCGUCCAUUGUGGGGGAAGAAAUCCUCUCCAUUGCCCACGUUUAGCUGGGAAGGAAGCCACAGAAGUUUGUGUUAUUGCAGAUGAUUGUCUAACAGUCCAUUGCAAACAAACAGAAUUUCUUUUUUUUCUUUUUUCUUUUUUUAUCCAGCAAACAAAAUGCAAAAGGGAAACUAGCAGUGGCACCUUAGGAGCCGGUAGAACACGGCCUUCAACUUGAGUAAAGCUAUUGCUAAUUGUUAUACCGCAUGAACGCAGCAUAGGUUCAGAAUCAUAGUUGCUACGCUCCAAUCUGAUCCUUCACUUGAAACUGAUAAGUCCAGUCCUGUUUCAGAUCAUGAAAUCCUUUGGCUGCUUCCUCACAUACAUGCUUUCCGAGAUGGAGUUUGAACCAUACUCUAGAUUCCAAAUUCAUCAGGACUGCAGACUUUGUAGACUCUUUAGCGCGAUUAAGUUGCACUUGAGUAACUGCCAAAAAGAAAAAAUUUCAAUUAGUGUCAGGGCACACUAGAAACAAAAUAACAAGAAUGGCACAUUGAAGAAAAUAAACAGAUGCAGCAUGAACCUUGUCCAGGUGUUGCCAGUGCUAUUAAUUCUUCAGCAGCCACAUCAACGGCUUUUGCCACAAAGUCAGAGCUCUGCUAACCAAAUUUAGAAGAAAAUGAUAAGCUCAGAAGUAAUUAGCAAAACACUAAAAGUUUGUCACUGCCAGUAACUUUGUCAACACCUAGUCAGUGGCACUCCAUGCUGACAGAAGCUAAAAAGAUUAAGUUCGAAUUUACCAUAGGUUUUCAUGUUUUAACCAAUAUCAGGCAUUAGGGACCCCAAUUCACUUUUUUUCUUAUGUCUCCUGGUCAGUGCCAAAACAACGAGUAAACCCGCGCCACGAGCCCUAGCAAAUCCAACCAAAGCCAUCGACGUCCAAAGAGAGGGACAUACCUUGAGGAUGAGAAUCUCGUUGUCGAGGAGGCGAAAGCCAGCCCAAGCUUCAAAGCCCCGCGCUUUCGAAUCGAGCAAAGAGAAUACAACACAAAUGCUCAAAAGCUUAAAAAGAACGAUGCAGAGAGAGAGAGAGCUUACGGUCUUUGCCNNNNNNNNNNNNNNNNNNNNNNNNNNNNNNNNNNNNNNNNNNNNNNNNNNNNNNNNNNNNNNNNNNNNNNNNNNNNNNNNNNNNNNNNNNNNNNNNNNNNNNNNNNNNNNNNNNNNNNNNNNNNNNNNNNNNNNNNNNNNNNNNNNNNNNNNNNNNNNNNNNNNNNNNNNNNNNNNNNNNNNNNNNNNNNNNNNNNNNNNNNNNNNNNNNNNNNNNNNNNNNNNNNNNNNNNNNNNNNNNNNNNNNNNNNNNNNNNNNNNNNNNNNNNNNNNNNNNNNNNNNNNNNNNNNNNNNNNNNNNNNNNNNNNNNNNNNNNNNNNNNNNNNNNNNNNNNNNNNNNNNNNNNNNNNNNNNNNNNNNNNNGGUGACGGUGGCUUGGGGACGGCGGCGGUGCCUCACGGCGGCGCGGACAGCAAGACAGCUCGUCGGGCUAAACGGUGAGACGGCUUGUCGGACGAGCAGUGGGUGGUGGGGGUUCGGUGGCCAAGAGGUGGUGGUGAGUAGGGCGUGGGGCAGCGGUGUGGUGGUGGGUGAAGCAGCAACCGGCGAGAGGAAGGAAGAAGAAGAAGAAGAAGAAGAAGAGGUGGGAGGGUUCGGCUGAGAGAGGAGGAGAGAGAGAGAGAGGGGAAAAGAAAAAAGUGGGGGGCAGGAAGUGACGUGAGGAGGAAAAAGGGGAGAAAAGAGAGAGAGAAAAAGAAAGGGAAAGGGGGGAAAAUUGAAGGGGGGGGAAUUCGAGCGAAAGGGAUUAGGGUUUUUUUAUUUUUUAACUUUGCCGGUUCUGGUUCCUGUGGGAACCGGAACCGGAACCGGGAACCGCCGGUUCCUGGAAAAAGAGAACCGGGAACCGGAACCGGUCCCCUUAGAACCGGGAACCGAACCGGAACCUCCUCCGGUUCGGUUCCGGUUCCCGGUUCUAACCGGAACCACGCUCACCCCUAGUUGAGUAUGAAAGCUUAGAUCUUGCAAGUUAGGAGAAUAUUGGUGGGUCAUUAAGGGAUAUGCGGACCCUUGGAGUACCUUAACUUUGCCCAAAGAGACACUUAAGUGUUAUAACUUACGAAAUGUACACUUAAGUGCCAAAAUCGGAGUAAAAUGGAUCACUUGAGUGCCAAUCUGGUCAAAGUCCAGCCAAAACGUUAACGUGGCAUUUUUCGGGCGAACCGAGUCCAAAACGACGCUGUUUUGCACGCUGACAUGACCAAAAUAUGCAAAAACGGCGUUGUUUUGAGCUGACGUGGUAAAAAAAAAUAAUUAAAUUAAAUUUAAAAAUAAUAAUUUUAAAAUUAAAUUUAGUUAAAAUAUUUAAAAAUAAUAAUUUUAAAAUUAAAUUUAGUUGAAAUAUUAAAAAUUUAAUUAAAAAUAAUAAUUUUAAAAUUAAAUUCAACCGCCGUCGCCGCCGCCCCGCCGCCGUCGGGAAGGGCCGGGCGAGGGCCGCCGCCCGCUGGGGGUCGCCACAGCGAGCGGCGGCCCUUGGUCCGACUAGGCGAGGGCUGCCGACCCUCACUAGAUCUAGGCAAGGGCGGCGACGGCUGAGGGCGAUCCCUUAGCCGCCUCCCCCCUUUCCUUUUUUUUUUUUUUUUAAUUUUUUAAAAUUUUAAAAUUUUAAAAUUAUUAAUUUUUUAAUAUUUCAACUAAAUUUAAUUUUAAAAUUAUUAAUUUUAAAUAUUUUAACUCAAUUUAAUUUUUAAUUUAAUUUAAUUAUUUUUAAUUAUUUUUUUUACCACAUCAGCACAAAAACAACGUCGUUUUUGCAUUAUUUAGCCACGUCAGCGUGCAAAAUGACGUCGUUUUGGGCGCGCUUUGCCGGAAAAAUGCAACGUCGGCAUUUUGGCCGGAGUAGCACUCAAGUGAUUCGUUUUUCUUCGAAUGUGGCACUUAGGUGUAUCUUUCGUAAGUUAUGGCACUUAAAUAUCUCUUUGGACAAAGUUAUGGUACUUAAAGCGUUCUUUUGCCAUCAUUCAGGAGUAUCGCAUUAUCUAUGCCUGGAACAUGGACACGCCACGCACCGAUAUGAUCUUUGUGGCCAGUCGGGGUUCUCUAUUGAAACGGUAUUAGUUACGAAAUCUACUGCUUAGAACUACGUUAAGCCCACUGAACCCAUGGUUCCCUAUAAUUUUCUCUUUCUAUUUGGGGUUGCAAUUACCAUGUGAUUUCUGGCUAACCCUGUUGCCUAAUCCACUUCCCUAAUCAUCACAUGGUCUUGCUUGAAAACGAAGUAUUGAGGGGUAAUGUGAAAUAUCGACCUUUGAGGAAGACAGGCCAAACACGAAAGAAACAGAACGAAACUUGACUUAGCGAAGUCUUUGCUCUCUGUUGUUUUUUUCUUGGCACGACUCUCAGUCGAUUCAGACUUCUGAAGCUUCACGUGGGUUACGCGGCGUGCCAUUUACGUUGCAUUCACUUCCUGUUUUCUUGGCCACCCAACGUCCUUAGCCUACCCCUCUCGGUUGCCAUUGGCCAACAAUCUAAUACGCGUUUGUGGAAUACAAAGUCGGACUUUUAAUCCGAAUGGCAGCCCCCUGCUGCUCGACUUUCCACGUCCAUUCCUCUAAAUUGUCCUGUUUCCUUUGAUUUGUCAGGAGUCAUCCUCUUCAUGCGCCUUUGACAUGUCCAAUCUAAAAUUUCCAUGACAUAGCCCUCCGGUUCCAAUUAAAAGAUCAGAGAAAGAAAAAGGAAGGAGCAUGUGAUGAUGAGUUCUCCCUCUCUCUUCUGGCUCUUCGUUCUUUUGGUCUUUUACCUCGCCGCCUCAGCAUCCCCUGCCUUGUUAUUUCAGGUGAGAUAGAGAAAUCAACGUCUUGUUCUUCAUUACGAUACAAAGUGACAGAGAAAGCAAUGGAGAUUUCAUUUAUAUGCUUUACUUGUUGAGUUAUAUGUCUGACUGUUCAAGAAUUUGGGCGUUAUCUGAACAAAGGGGUUCAACUGGGAAUCUUCGAAGAAGGAAGGGGGAUGGUACAAUUCGCUCAAGAACUUGGUACCGGAUUUGGCCAAUGCUGGAAUUACUCAUGUGUGGCUUCCUCCACCGUCUCAAUCUGCCGCUCAACAAGGUAUAUCGCUGUGCCCUAACUCCUAAUAAUAAAAAAUCACUCAAUUUCCUUCUACAGUUGCGCUUGCCUGCAGUGUAGUGAUGAUUGAUGAAUAUGAUAGUGAUUACGGGCUAAAUCAUCAGAAUUAAUAGUUCUGGACUGCUAGUCCAGGAUGAAUUGAUGUUUGAUGCAUUCGACAAUCUUGGAUCAAAUUCAACCGUGUGGUUUCUGAGAAGAAAUAGAUCCUCAAAAGAAAUACUCUAUAUGAACAUCUGUUCCAAGGUUAGAAUUUAGUAGGACUCAUUUUGAUGAAUGCCAUCCCCUCUUUUCUCUAGGGUACCUGCCUGGGCGGCUCUAUGAUCUCAAUGCUUCGAGCUACGGGAAUCAGGAUGAGUUGAAGCAUCUUAUUGAUGCUUUCCAUCAAAAGGGAAUCAAAUGCCUGGCCGACAUAGUGAUUAACCACAGGACUGCGGAAAAACAAGAUAGCCGGGGAAUAUGGUGCAUCUUCGAAGGCGGAACACCCGACGAACGUCUUGACUGGGGGCCGUCCUUUAUUUGUCGCGAUGACACUGAGUUCUCUGAUGGCAUGGGUAAUCUUGAUACAGGUGGGGACUUCAAUAAUACGCCCGACAUAGACCACCUCAAUCCGAGGGUGCAAAAGGAGCUGUCUGACUGGAUGAAUUGGUUGAAGAGCGAUAUAGGAUUUGAUGGGUGGCGAUUCGAUUUCGUACUGGGUUAUGACCCAAGCAUCACCAAAAUCUACAUGGAUCGGACUUUGCCGAAUUUUGCGGUGGGAGAGAACUGGGACUCGCUCUCUUAUGGACAGGAUAAGAAGCCCAACCCAAACCAGGAUGCACACCGCCAUAAGCUGGCGGAAUGGGUCAAUGCUGCAGGCGGGGCCGUCACGGCAUUUGAUUUCACCACGAAGGGGAUCCUCCAGGCGGCCGUUGAAGGGGAGCUUUGGCGGUUGAAGGAUUCAAACGGGAUGCCGCCGGGAUUGAUUGGCCUCCAGCCAAGCAGUGCCGUGACUUUCAUCGACAAUCACGACACUGGUUCCACGCAAAAAAUAUGGCCGUUUCCGUCCGAUAAGGUCAUGCAGGGAUAUGCCUACAUCCUCACCCAUCCUGGAGUCCCAUCCAUUGUAAUGUCCUCUUGCUCUCGUUUAAUCGACUCAUCUCACUGUUGUGCUGUGUCUGUGAUGACUAAUGUACUAUGUUGAUGUCUGAAAGUUGCCAGUUACGUUGCGUUUCGCUCUAUUAUAAACCUCAGAGAAGUUCAUCUAACUUAUCCCAUUCAUUAACAAGACGCAUGCUUCUUGUAAUUUAGCACCAUAUGAAUUUGCUGAUCUUUCUUUUUUGAUUUGACCUAAGGAAAUGAUAUUUCUACUUGCGCAGUUCUAUGAUCACUUCUUUGACUGGGGCCUGAAGGAGGAGAUCGGCAAGUUGACGGCGAUAAGGGCGCGGAACCAGAUUAACGAGAAGAGCAGUGUGGAGAUCUUGGCUUCCGAUUCUGAUUUAUACGUGGCCAAGAUCGACGAUGGAGUGAUUAUGAAGAUUGGACCUAGGUUUGAAGUAGGAAACCUUGUUCCUCCCAAUUAUCAGAUUGCUACAUCCGGCCAAGAUUAUUGUGUGUGGGAGAAGAAGUGAUGUUCAGGCAAACUUAAGAAUAAGCAGCAACUGAAAGAGCAAUUAUAGGCUGCAUUGUUUGAAAU
This 16112-nucleotide long non-coding RNA is filed under the name Eucalyptus grandis. RNAcentral's name for it is "long non-coding RNA (EGRA_LNC003750)". Lineage: Eukaryota; Viridiplantae; Streptophyta; Magnoliopsida; Myrtales; Myrtaceae. The record is from RNAcentral.